RNAcentral lists this ribosomal RNA (1373 nucleotides) under uncultured bacterium. Its description in RNAcentral is "bacterial SSU rRNA". It matches the Rfam family "Bacterial small subunit ribosomal RNA", at positions 28 to 1381 of the family's 1533-position model. The record is from RNAcentral.
GAUGAACGCUGGCGGCGUGCCUAAUACAUGCAAGUCGAGCGAACGGACGAGAAGCUUGCUUCUCUGAUGUUAGCGGCGGACGGGUGAGUAACACGUGGAUAACCUACCUAUAAGACUGGGAUAACUUCGGGAAACCGGAGCUAAUACCGGAUAAUAUUUUGAACCGCAUGGUUCAAAAGUGAAAGACGGUCUUGCUGUCACUUAUAGAUGGAUCCGCGCUGCAUUAGCUAGUUGGUAAGGUAACGGCUUACCAAGGCAACGAUGCAUAGCCGACCUGAGAGGGUGAUCGGCCACACUGGAACUGAGACACGGUCCAGACUCCUACGGGAGGCAGCAGUAGGGAAUCUUCCGCAAUGGGCGAAAGCCUGACGGAGCAACGCCGCGUGAGUGAUGAAGGUCUUCGGAUCGUAAAACUCUGUUAUUAGGGAAGAACAUAUGUGUAAGUAACUGUGCACAUCUUGACGGUACCUAAUCAGAAAGCCACGGCUAACUACGUGCCAGCAGCCGCGGUAGUACGUAGGUGGCAAGCGUUAUCCGGAAUUAUUGGGCGUAAAGCGCGCGUANGCGGUUUUUCUAGUCUGAUGUGAAAGCCCCACGGCUCACCGUGGAGGGUCAUUGGAAACUGGAAAACUUGAGUGCAGAAGAAGAAAGUGGAAUUCCAUGUGUAGCGGUGAAAUGCGCAGAGAUAUGGAGGAACACCAGUGGGCGAAGGCGACUUUCUGGUCUGUAACUGACGCUGAUGUGCGAAAGCGUGGGAUCAAAACAGGAUUAGAUACCCUGGUAGUCCACGCCGUAAACGAUGAGUGCUAAGUGUUAGGGGGGUUUCGCCCCUUAGUGCUGCAGCUAACGCAUUAAGCACUCCGCCUGGGGAGUACGACCGCAAGGUUGAAACUCAAAGGAAUUGACGGGGACCCGCACAAGCGGUGGAGCAUGUGGUUUAAUUCGAAGCAACGCGAAGAACCUUACCAAAUCUUGACAUCCUUUGACAACUCUAGAGAUAGAGCCUUCCCCUUCGGGGGACAAAGUGACAGGUGGUGCAUGGUUGUCGUCAGCUCGUGUCGUGAGAUGUUGGGUUAAGUCCCGCAACGAGCGCAACCCUUAAGCUUAGUUGCCAUCAUUAAGUUGGGCACUCUAAGUUGACUGCCGGUGACAAACCGGAGGAAGGUGGGGAUGACGUCAAAUCAUCAUGCCCCUUAUGAUUUGGGCUACACACGUGCUACAAUGGACAAUACAAAGGGCAGCGAAACCGCGAGGUCAAGCAAAUCCCAUAAAGUUGUUCUCAGUUCGGAUUGUAGUCUGCAACUCGACUACAUGAAGCUGGAAUCGCUAGUAAUCGUAGAUCAGCAUGCUACGGUGAAUACGUUCCCGGGUCU